Long non-coding RNA from Cercocebus atys (sooty mangabey), 2052 nucleotides. RefSeq lists it as uncharacterized. Lineage: Eukaryota; Metazoa; Chordata; Mammalia; Primates; Cercopithecidae. The record is from RefSeq and is a predicted model, not a curated record. The transcript has 3 exons.
UGCUGGAGGGCACCACUCCGCCCCGUAGGCUGUGCCUGCAGGCCGGGGAGCGGGUACUCCGGUGCUUGAGGACCUCCAAGCGAGGUGAACUGCAGAGGGACCCAGGAGGGUGGAAGGAUGCUGGCUGGAAGUCGCAGAGGGCCAGGUUCAAAUCCUGCCUCUGCUAUUUAUUGGCUCCCAGACCUUGGAUCUGUGAAUUAACCUUUGAGCCUCCGACUCCUCCUGCCUAAGCCUGGUAUAAUAGUCUCUCCCUCGCAGUGUUGCUGUGUGGAUUCAGGGUUAUUUAAUGACCCCAGCAGAGCUCUGGAACAUUUGUGGAGCUGGCAGGGCAAGGUGAGGGACAGCCCAACGAAGGCAGGUCCCUGAAGUCCUGGUUAACACGGGUUUCCAGAAUUCGAGCCAGCCUGUGGUUUCUCCAGCUCGCCUGAAAGCUGGGGACACUGCAUGCACCAGGUAGUCAUUCCUGCACACCCCGCGCCCGCCCCACGAACUUGAGGGUCCAUAGUUCGCCCCACCUCCUCCCCAUCUCUCCAGCCACCUCCAGCUCAUCCUCCCAGUCUGGCUCGGCGCGAAGACUCCACAGCACCUUUCAGCAAGGCCCGGGACCUUGCGAUGCACCAGUCGGCUCCUGUGCUCCUCCCCAGUCGUGCGUUCCUCAGGGGCAGGCUACAGAGGAGGCUCCCGGGAAAGAGGAGAAAACCAGCGGCCACCCGGGACGCCCGUUCUGCGGGUGGCUUCGGAAAGUGCCCCCAAGCCCCAAGGAGAUUGCGGUGCCUGAGGAAAAGGUGGUGCCACUUUCUGCUCCGUGUAGUCCCAGUGUCAGGGGCCUUCUGUGAACCACGUGUUGGAAGCUGGGGUAGCCUUUGACCAGGAUUGGGACCCGGAGGUGAGGCCAGCUCUCAGACAUCAACCAAAGGACCCACUGCAUCUCCCUCCUUCCCCUGCCAACAAAGGUACAAGUAGAUGUUGACACCCCCUCAGACAUGGAAGGAGACCCAUUUUUUUCUUUUUCUAGUUCUGCAUAAAUGGCCUUAAACAAAAUAUGCAAACAGGCUCCUUGCCUCUCCCGAAGGCAGCCCACCACAGAAGCCCUGCCACAGCCCAAGAGGUUAGAUGCUGCCAGGAUCUGUUUCCGCCACAGAGCAGCUCUGUGCAGCACAUUCCUGUCAACCACCCCAAGUGCUUCAGGGCUUCCGAGGCAGUGACAGUGAGGGCAGCGGCACUUCUGGGUCACCGUGGGACAGGUCUCUGCCUCAAGACACGGAUUGACAAGCUCUCUGAGUGGGCCAGGAGCUCCUUAAUGUGAGCCAAGCCCAGCCCUGCCACCUUGGCCCCAUUCAUCUCCAGGAUCUCAUCGCCCACCCCCAGCAGCCCUGAGUACAGCUUGGCCGUGCUCACAUCAGCCAUCUCCUGCACGUAGAUCCCUGCAAAGGAAAACAGAAGAAUUUCACAGUGACACCCAAAUCGAAGAAGUGCAUCUCUGGAACGCUGACCAUGUUGGUGAGGUGCUGUUUGUGUGGCACAGGGAGGAGGUGCUCAUAGCGGGCACUUCUCUGCGCGCAUGCACACACACACAUACCCCUCAUUAUUCCACCUCACAGCCGCAACUGGCUUUAGACAGUGCAUCUCCUCCACGGUCUAACUUCAUUCCACUGUCUCUGCUUUUAAAGUGGAAAUGCUCCUAGUGCAAAUAACGCGUUAAAUUGUUGUUAUUUAUUUAUACCUGACUGUGAGUGAGCUACUCUUUUUCUGAGAUGAGUUUUGCUUGUAGAAUAGGAAGGAAAAUAGUUUUUAAAAAUUAGGAACCAUACCUACUCGGUGCCUGGCACUAUGGUCCAGUUGCUGCCUCAGGUCGCCCAGGCCCAGCAUAAAGGCCGGGGUGGUGGGAAGGUAUCGUCGGAAAAGCAAAAGUGGCUGAGCCACAUCCAAGCCUGGUUUGCUGCACUCUAUUGCCAAAGAGUGACCCUGGCCUCAGUCUUACUCAGAUAUGGUUCCUCAAUUGGGAUGGGAAAACACCCAGGAAAAAUAAAAAUUCUAGCCACAUAUUUCAAA